Molecule: ribosomal RNA, 431 nt
Filed under: uncultured bacterium
Lineage: Bacteria
Description: bacterial SSU rRNA
Rfam family: Bacterial small subunit ribosomal RNA
Source: RNAcentral
ACGAACGCUGGCGGCAUGCCUAACACAUGCAAGUCGAACGAAGCCUUCGGGCUUAGUGGCGCACGGGUGCGUAACGCGUGGGAAUCUGCCCCUUGGUUCGGAAUAACAGUUAGAAAUGACUGCUAAUAUCGGAUGAUGACGUAAGUCCAAAGAUUUAUCGCCGAGGGAUGAGCCCGCGUAGGAUUAGCUAGUUGGUGAGGUAAAGGCUCACCAAGGCGACGAUCCUUAGCUGGUCUGAGAGGAUGAUCAGCCACACUGGGACUGAGACACGGCCCAGACUCCUACGGGAGGCAGCAGUGGGGAAUAUUGGACAAUGGGCGAAAGCCUGAUCCAGCAAUGCCGCGUGAGUGAUGAAGGCCUUAGGGUCGUAAAGCUCUUUUACCCGGGAUGAUAAUGACAGUACCGGGAGAAUAAGCUCCGGCUAACUCCGU